GUUCUUAUGUUAUUGAUUGGAAACCGUUUUUGCUUACAAGGUCAAUGUGACCUUGACCUUUGACCCCUUGACCCCAAAAUCAAUAGGGAUCAUCUACUGAUCAUGACCAAUCACCAUACCAAGUUUGAAGUUCCUAGGCCUUAAGGUUCUUUAGUUAUUGAUCGGAAACCGUUUUUGCUUACAAGGUCAAUGUGACCUUGACCUUUGACCCUUUGACCCCAAAAUCAAUAGGGGUCAUCUACUGGUCAUGACCAAUCACCAUACCAAGUUUGAAGUUCCUAGGCCUUAAGGUUCUUUAGUUAUUGAUCGGAAACCGUUUUUGCUUACAAGGUCAAUGUGACCUUGACCUUUGACCCUUUGACCCCAAAAUCAAUAGGGGUCAUCUACUGGUCAUGACCAAUCACCAUACCAAGUUUGAAGUUCCUAGGCCUUAAGGUUCUUUAGUUAUUGAUCGGAAACCGUUUUUGCUUACAAGGCCUAAGGGUUCUUUAGUUAUCACUCGGAAACCAUUUGGUCUACGGACCGACGGACCGACGGACCGACAAGUGCAAAGCAAUAUACCCCCUUUUCUUCGAAAUGGGGGCAUAAAUAUA
Molecule: long non-coding RNA, 593 nt
Organism: Ruditapes philippinarum (Manila clam)
Lineage: Eukaryota; Metazoa; Mollusca; Bivalvia; Venerida; Veneridae
Exons: 2
Source: RefSeq, a predicted model, not a curated record